Molecule: ribosomal RNA, 1381 nt
Filed under: Lactiplantibacillus plantarum
Lineage: Bacteria; Bacillati; Bacillota; Bacilli; Lactobacillales; Lactobacillaceae
Description: Lactobacillus plantarum 16S ribosomal RNA
Rfam family: Bacterial small subunit ribosomal RNA
Source: RNAcentral
GAGUGGCGAACUGGUGAGUAACACGUGGGAAACCUGCCCAGAAGCGGGGGAUAACACCUGGAAACAGAUGCUAAUACCGCAUAACAACUUGGACCGCAUGGUCCGAGUUUGAAAGAUGGCUUCGGCUAUCACUUUUGGAUGGUCCCGCGGCGUAUUAGCUAGAUGGUGRGGUAACGGCUCACCAUGGCAAUGAUACGUAGCCGACCUGAGAGGGUAAUCGGCCACAUUGGGACUGAGACACGGCCCAAACUCCUACGGGAGGCAGCAGUAGGGAAUCUUCCACAAUGGACGAAAGUCUGAUGGAGCAACGCCGCGUGAGUGAAGAAGGGUUUCGGCUCGUAAAACUCUGUUGUUAAAGAAGAACAUAUCUGAGAGUAACUGUUCAGGUAUUGACGGUAUUUAACCAGAAAGCCACGGCUAACUACGUGCCAGCAGCCGCGGUAAUACGUAGGUGGCAAGCGUUGUCCGGAUUUAUUGGGCGUAAAGCGAGCGCAGGCGGUUUUUUAAGUCUGAUGUGAAAGCCUUCGGCUCAACCGAAGAAGUGCAUCGGAAACUGGGAAACUUGAGUGCAGAAGAGGACAGUGGAACUCCAUGUGUAGCGGUGAAAUGCGUAGAUAUAUGGAAGAACACCAGUGGCGAAGGCGGCUGUCUGGUCUGUAACUGACGCUGAGGCUCGAAAGUAUGGGUAGCAAACAGGAUUAGAUACCCUGGUAGUCCAUACCGUAAACGAUGAAUGCUAAGUGUUGGAGGGUUUCCGCCCUUCAGUGCUGCAGCUAACGCAUUAAGCAUUCCGCCUGGGGAGUACGGCCGCAAGGCUGAAACUCAAAGGAAUUGACGGGGGCCCGCACAAGCGGUGGAGCAUGUGGUUUAAUUCGAAGCUACGCGAAGAACCUUACCAGGUCUUGACAUACUAUGCAAAUCUAAGAGAUUAGACGUUCCCUUCGGGGACAUGGAUACAGGUGGUGCAUGGUUGUCGUCAGCUCGUGUCGUGAGAUGUUGGGUUAAGUCCCGCAACGAGCGCAACCCUUAUUAUCAGUUGCCAGCAUUAAGUUGGGCACUCUGGUGAGACUGCCGGUGACAAACCGGAGGAAGGUGGGGAUGACGUCAAAUCAUCAUGCCCCUUAUGACCUGGGCUACACACGUGCUACAAUGGAUGGUACAACGAGUUGCGAACUCGCGAGAGUAAGCUAAUCUCUUAAAGCCAUUCUCAGUUCGGAUUGUAGGCUGCAACUCGCCUACAUGAAGUCGGAAUCGCUAGUAAUCGCGGAUCAGCAUGCCGCGGUGAAUACGUUCCCGGGCCUUGUACACACCGCCCGUCACACCAUGAGAGUUUGUAACACCCAAAGUCGGUGGGGUAACCUUUUAGGAACCAGCCGCCUAA